This 119-nucleotide ribosomal RNA is filed under the name Mus spretus (western wild mouse). The record is from RNAcentral. Lineage: Eukaryota; Metazoa; Chordata; Mammalia; Rodentia; Muridae.
GUCUACAGCCAUACCACCCUGAACACGCCCGAUCUUGUCUGAUCUCUGGAGCUAAGCAGGGUCGGGCCUGGUUAGUACUUGAAUGGGAGACCGCCUGGGAAUACCGGGUGCUGUAGGCU